AAAAUAAUAUUAUAUAAAUGAAGAGUCUAGAGAAGGCAGUUCAUUACUUAUAUUGAACGCGAUCCACAACAAAUCCAAUUAAUCUCACAAAUUUCUUACAGAACCUAAUAUCCAAAAAUCAUAUUUUCUUUUAAAAUUAAUCAUAAUAUAUAUAAAACUUAAAUUUUAACAUUCUUCCAGGGCCGACCCUGCAGAAGUAUCUAGCACCCCGGGUUCGGAUUCAGAUUCGGGUUCAUACCCGUAAACCACCCUCCUCCUUUUAUUUUAUUAUUAUUGUUUUCUUUCUUUCUUUCUUUUCUUUUUCUUUCUUUUCUUUUCUUUUUUUUCUUUUCUUUUUCUUUUCCUUCUCUUUUCUUUUCUUUCCUUUCCUUUUCUUUUUCCUUCUCCGAAGCUUCCUCUCCUUCCUUUUUUUUUCGUUUUCUUCUUCUUCUCUUCCCCUCUUCUCCUGCGACCAUGGAGGGGAAGGCGCGACCCCAUGCCGAGGCUCGGAAGGGGCGGCGGCCUGAGGUCGGCGG
Molecule: long non-coding RNA, 515 nt
Filed under: Phoenix dactylifera (date palm)
Lineage: Eukaryota; Viridiplantae; Streptophyta; Magnoliopsida; Arecales; Arecaceae
Description: long non-coding RNA (PDAC_LNC022776)
Source: RNAcentral